CCUACGGGUGGCAGCAGUGAGGAAUAUUGGUCAAUGGGCGCAAGCCUGAACCAGCCAAGUAGCGUGCAGGAUGACGGCCCUACGGGUUGUAAACUGCUUUUAUACGGGAAUAACGCGCCUUACGUGUAGGUCUUUGCAUGUACCGUAUGAAUAAGGACCGGCUAAUUCCGUGCCAGCAGCCGCGGUAAUACGGAAGGUCCGGGCGUUAUCCGGAUUUAUUGGGUUUAAAGGGAGCGUAGGCCGGAUGUCAAGCGUGCUGUGAAAUGUUCGGGCUCAACCCGGGCCUUGCAGGGGAAACUGGCGGGCUUGAGUCCGGGGAAAGUAGGCGGAAUUCGUGGUGUAGCGGUGAAAUGCUUAGAUAUGACGAAGAACUCCGAUUGCGAAGGCAGCUUGAUGCAGUGGAACUGACGCUGAUGCUCGAAAGCGCGGGUAUCGAACAGGAUUAGAUACCCCAGUAGUC
This 460-nucleotide ribosomal RNA is filed under the name uncultured bacterium. RNAcentral describes it as "partial 16S ribosomal RNA". It matches the Rfam family "Bacterial small subunit ribosomal RNA", at positions 338 to 795 of the family's 1533-position model. The record is from RNAcentral.